Molecule: long non-coding RNA, 153 nt
Organism: Telopea speciosissima
Lineage: Eukaryota; Viridiplantae; Streptophyta; Magnoliopsida; Proteales; Proteaceae
Exons: 3
Source: RefSeq, a predicted model, not a curated record
CAGUGUCUGACGUGCCAUAUGGCAUUGGUUGAGUGGGAGGACCUUUUCAAGGUUAACUGGGCAUGUAAGCUACAAGUGCUGUCCUGUGUCCACUACUAAUUACACGAACAUAAAAUACAUAGAGAAAGCUUUAUUUCAGUCUUAAAAGUGACA